GAUGAAGAACGUAGCAAAAUGCGAUAAGUAAUGUGAAUUGCAGAAUUCAGUGAAUCAUCGAAUCUUUGAACGCACAUUGCGCCCGCUGGUAUUCCGGCGGGCAUGCCUGUUCGAGCGUCAUUUCAACCCUCAAGCCCCCGGGUUUGGUGUUGGGGAUCGGCUCUGCCCUUCUGGGCGGUGCCGCCCCCGAAAUACAUUGGCGGUCUCGCUGCAGCCUCCAUUGCGUAGUAGCUAACACCUCGCAACUGGAACGCGGCGCGGCCAUGCCGUAAAACCCCAACUUCUGAAUGUUGACCUCGGAUCAGGUAGGAUUACCCGCUGAACUUAAGCAUAUCAAUAAGCGGAGGA
RNAcentral lists this unclassified non-coding RNA (348 nucleotides) under soil metagenome. RNAcentral's name for it is "partial contains 5.8S ribosomal RNA, internal transcribed spacer 2, and large subunit ribosomal RNA". The stretch from base 1 to 120 matches the Rfam family "5.8S ribosomal RNA", at positions 35 to 154 of the family's 154-position model. The record is from RNAcentral.